UGAGACCAUCUAGAAGAUGCAUCUAUUAAGACCAUAAAAUAUCUAAACGACCCACUAUGUGGGUGAAUAAGUCCACAAAUAUCUCCUUGUAGACGUUCCUAAAACACAUGUGACUCAAUUCCAACCUUUGUUGGUGAUGGUCUAAUAAUUAACUUGCCUUGAUAAGAAGAAGUGCAAGAAAAUUCAUUAUUUAAAAGAAUCUUUAAAUUCUUUAAUAGAUGCCCAUAUGAGUUUUCUAUAAUCCGUCUCAUCAUAAUUGAUCCAGGAUGUCCCAAUCGAUCAUGCCAAAGUACAAAAGUAUUGGAAUCAGUAACCU
Molecule: long non-coding RNA, 316 nt
Filed under: Nicotiana benthamiana
Lineage: Eukaryota; Viridiplantae; Streptophyta; Magnoliopsida; Solanales; Solanaceae
Description: long non-coding RNA (NBEN_LNC014530)
Source: RNAcentral